GGGGAAUAUUGCACAACGGAGGGAACUCUGAUGCAGCGACGCCGCGUGAACGAAGAAGGCUUUCGAGUCGUAAAGUUCUUUUAUAUGGGAAGAUAAUGACGGUACCAUAAGAAAAAGCCCCGGCUAACUAUGUGCCAGCAGCCGCGGUAAUACGUAGGGGGCUAGCGUUGUCCGGAAUCACUGGGCGUAAAGGGUUCGCAGACGGAAAUGCAAGUCAGAUGUAAAAGGCAGUAGCUUAACUACUGUAAGCAUUUGAAACUGCAUAUCUUGAGAAGAGUAGAGGUAAGUGGAAUUUUUAGUGUAGCGGUGAAAUGCGUAGAUAUUAAAAAGAAUACCGGUGGCGAAGGCGACUUACUGGGCUCAUUCUGACGCUGAGGAACGAAAGCGUGGGUAGCAAACAGGAUUAGAUACCCUGGUAGUCCACGCUGUAAACGAUGAGUGCUAGGUGUCGGCGAAUGUCGGUGCCGCAGUUAACACAAUAAGCACUCCGCCUGGGGAGUACGUGCGCAAGCAUG
RNAcentral lists this ribosomal RNA (515 nucleotides) under uncultured bacterium. RNAcentral describes it as "bacterial SSU rRNA". It matches the Rfam family "Bacterial small subunit ribosomal RNA", at positions 356 to 896 of the family's 1533-position model. The record is from RNAcentral.